This is a non-coding RNA of Lolium perenne, 1022 nucleotides long. NCBI's taxonomy places the organism in Eukaryota, Viridiplantae, Streptophyta, Magnoliopsida, Poales, Poaceae. The record is from RefSeq and is a predicted model, not a curated record.
AAGGAAAAACGAAAAGAAAAAAGAAAGAAGACCCACCCAACCCAACCCCGUCCGUCUUCCUCUACCUCUGGAUCCCCACUCCUCUCACUCUCCCACCGCCCAGCCUCGCCGGCAGCCCCAGUCCAUCCGCCACGGCCGCCUGUCCUCCCUGAUGCCGGACCGCCCUUCCCCGCGCCUCCGUUCGUGUAUCGAUGAAGCCCACCUUCCUGCAACGCCACGAGGUCGAUGAGGCUCCGGCGUAACGGCUACGGCUCGGCCUCGCCGACGCUGCACCGGUCCUGGACAUUCCCUCCUCCCUCCGCCGUCAGAUCGACCGCCGCCUUUCUCCCACGUCAGAUCGACGCCGCCGGCCCAUCCUCGCCGAUGUGAGUGCCGGCGCGGCUGGCUUCCUCGCCGGCGCGCGCAUGCACCCUUAGGACGGUGCGCGGCACCCCGUCGAGGUCGCCUGGCUGCUUCGCUUGCUCGAGUGGCCGAGGCUGUGCGGGUGUCUGCACGCCGGCGACCAACCAUGACGCCGCUGCGAGCAACGGAGUCCGGCUGGGGUGGAGCUUCUCGCCCCCAAGCAUAGCAACCUCGCCGCCGCCUUCAAUUGUUCUGCACCCAAAGGAAAAGGAGGAGGACUAAAUGACAGAGAAGCUGGAGUACCCAGAGACAACUGAGGCAUGCUUCGUAGCAUAAGUUGCACAGUGGUAAACGUCUUGUAGCUUCUGCGAGCAACGGAGUCCGGCUGGGGCGCAUCCACGAUGUGGAGCUUCUCGCCGACAAGCAACAUUGACGCUGCCUUCAGUGAUUCUGCAUCCAAAGGCAAAGGAGGAGGACUAAAUGACAGACAAGCUGAGACAACUGAGACAUGCCUCGGAGCAUAAGUUGCAGAGUGUAUUACCUAUCACUGGACUGUUGAAAACAAGUUUGAGAGCGUCUUUUGUAGCUGUUAAGAGUGCUGUAUGGUGCGGUGGCGGCAAUGCUCGGGAUCUCUCCGACACUGGAGUUGAGAAAAAUGAUGUUUUCUUCUACUGCCCAUG